GAUGAACGCUAGCGGCAGGCCUAAUACAUGCAAGUCGAGGGAGAAUGUUGGAUUCGUCUGACAUGAAACCGGCGCACGGGUGCGUAACACGUAUGCAACCUACCUUUAACUGGGGUAUAGCUCAGAGAAAUCUGAAUUAAUCCCCCAUAAGACUACGACAUGGCAUCAUGAUGUAGUUAAAGCUCCGGCGGUCAAGGAUGGGCAUGCGGUACAUUAGCUAGUUGGUGAGUGAAUGGCUCACCAAGGAUACGAUGUAUAGGGGGUCUGAGAGGAUGAUCCCCCACACUGGUACUGAGACACGGACCAGACUCCUACGGGAGGCAGCAGUAGGGAAUAUUGGUCAAUGGACGCAAGUCUGAACCAGCCAUGCCGCGUGAAGGAUGAAGGCCCUAUGGGUCGUAAACUUCUUUUAUUAGGGAAGAAAAAACGGGAUGCGUCCUGUACUGACGGUACUUAAUGAAUAAGGAUCGGCUAACUUCGUGCCAGCCGCCGCCGUAA
Molecule: ribosomal RNA, 498 nt
Filed under: uncultured bacterium
Lineage: Bacteria
Description: partial 16S ribosomal RNA
Rfam family: Bacterial small subunit ribosomal RNA
Source: RNAcentral